This is a long non-coding RNA of Anopheles gambiae (African malaria mosquito), 1178 nucleotides long. RefSeq lists it as uncharacterized. Lineage: Eukaryota; Metazoa; Arthropoda; Insecta; Diptera; Culicidae. The transcript is spliced from 5 exons. The record is from RefSeq and is a predicted model, not a curated record.
UGGCCAUCAUGUGUCAAACAAUGUGCGCUUUCAUUUUUUGUCUAUUGUCGUCUCUUUCACACCUACGUAUGCUUGAUGUGGAACGAUUGCGGCGCCGAUAGAAAAUGUAAACAUUGCGGACUGCUCAUCCAAGAGUGCUCCGGCGUUCAUUAAAUAAUAAUUGCAUAAAGUCGAGUGAAAAUAGGAUCAAGCCGUGUUAAAAGAAUACUUUUAAUGUAUCCCGACACUGUCCAUAGUCAUGCGCGUCAAAUGGCACGGUUGGAACGCGAACAUACUGCGACGCGAAUGCGUUUUGCUGGGCAACCGGAACCGGACCCCAGAUGACCGAGUCGAUGAUGCUGUGCCACUGGUGUACGAAGCAAGUUUAGGCCCUAUGGAAGUGAACGAUAAGUUACAAUCAUUAUAAACUGUGGAUUGCGAACCGCUUAUUAUGUUUGUGUACACAUUUUUUACAGACAAAUUUCUCCCGAUGAGUUCUAGUGUGGAGAACAGUGCGUAGACCAAAAGCAGCGAUGAAGAUUGUAAAUUGUAUUUAUACGGGGUAUUAUUAUAUUAUUUAACAACACACCUUAAACCGAAAUGCGUUCUGUGCACGCCCAUUGCCUAUGUAAUGGACACCGAAUCGACGGUAAUCGUAGGGGUACAGCAGUUGUACCUGCCACAUUCAGCAUUUUAUAUUGCCACACUAUAGCCAAGGAGAGAUUUAUACUGCAUGUCGUCAUGCGUGGUAAGCGCAUGGUAUGGGGAACCGCUUUUGCUGCGUGUGUCUGCAAGUGGCAUCAGAUUCUUUGGCAAGUGACGAAGUCAUAAAAAGUAUCUGGUAGCGCGUUUGGAAUCAGCUUAAGGUGCACAAUCCCAAAGUAAUGAACAAUUCAUGUCCGUUAGGAUGGUGCAUAUUGCGAGCCAUAGACGAAUGCACUGUUUCCGCUCCAUAUUCUACACCUUAUGUGCCCUAUGAUGCAUAUGUUGCUGCGUUAUGGAUCAUGUAGCGAGCCUAUGGUGCUCUCCUGUACAAAUAGUGAUCUUUAGCGAAACGGUCUCAACAACCAGUCCAUGCAUAUACAUGCCUCACGGUGUACGCAAUCUUUGCAAACAAGACUGCAACUCCAAAAACAAGCUUUUCUGUCGCAUACUUACUCCUCUAAAAAUAAUGUUUUUUUUUUUUUUUAAAUAUGAGG